GUGGGGAAUCUUGCGCAAUGGGCGAAAGCCUGACGCAGCGACGCCGCGUGAGUGAUGAAGGCCUUCGGGUUGUAAAGCUCUGUGGGGAGAGAAGAAUAAGUGCGGGCUAAUACUCCGCAUGAUGACGGUAUCUCCUUAGCAAGCACCGGCUAACUCUGUGCCAGCAGCCGCGGUAAGACAGAGGGUGCAAACGUUGUUCGGAAUUACUGGGCGUAAAGCGAGUGUAGGCGGUUUGGUAAGUCGGAUGUGAAAGCCCCGGGCUCAACCCGGGAAGUGCACUCGAUACUGCCAAGCUAGAGUAUCGGAGAGGUUGGUGGAAUUCUCGGUGUAGAGGUGAAAUUCGUAGAUAUCGAGAGGAACACCGGUGGCGAAGGCGGCCAACUGGACGAAUACUGACGCUGAGACUCGAAAGCGUGGGGAGCAAACAGGAUUAGAAACCCCGGUAGUCC
Molecule: ribosomal RNA, 449 nt
Filed under: uncultured bacterium
Lineage: Bacteria
Description: bacterial SSU rRNA
Rfam family: Bacterial small subunit ribosomal RNA
Source: RNAcentral